Molecule: unclassified non-coding RNA, 2990 nt
Filed under: Haliotis rufescens (red abalone)
Lineage: Eukaryota; Metazoa; Mollusca; Gastropoda; Lepetellida; Haliotidae
Description: uncharacterized LOC124149032, transcript variant X3
Source: RNAcentral
UCUGUCUGCUGUCUGUGUUUCUGUCUCCGUCCGUCUCUAUAUAUCGUCUAUCUCUCUGUCUCUCUGUCUGUGUUUCUGUCUCCGUCCGUCUCUAUAUAUCUCUCUAUCUCUCUCAGGGUUUACAGGGAAAGUUAGCUGAGAAAUCGAGGCGACCAAUUCUCGCAUGUCAUGUUGUCCUUCCCAACAACCCUGUGAUAGUCAAACAUUGAUAAAAAAAGCAAUAAUAUCAAUGGCGACAACUAUUAUUAUGUUUUUCUACUGGUUGAGCAACAAGCUUAUUAUGGCGUUAAAGCAAAAUCUAAAAAUAAGAUGCGCCUAUUCAACCAUGAGGGCGUAUCAACCUGACAUGUUUGAGUCAUGUUAUUGAGACAGCCACGGAGCAUUAUUGAUAUUAUUCAGUUAUGAUUGAAUACCUAUCCAAGCCGAAUUGCAACACAGAAUUCAGAGGGCCAUGAUGACAAUAUAUACAACUUCCUGCUGACUUAUCAAAGCAACAGGGCUGAAGUCCAGCACGGUUGAUACAGAUAGAAUGACACGCCCAGGAGCGUGAAAGAGUUUACUCCAGAUUCCAGUUGUAAGCACAGAAAUUAUCCCUACUCGUUCAUAUACUUUGAGCCCCGGAUGUUGAAACAUUGCCAGCAAAGUCUGAAUUGAUGGGGGGAAUACCAAGAGUCGCAGUGUCACUUUUUGCUGCAGACUACUGGAUACUUACAUUGUCAAACAUCAGAUAACCACAAACACAGUUGUGUGCAGCAUCCAUUUCAUGAAGGAUGACUUCAAAUGGACAGGAAGCCACCCUCUUGGAGACACUCUUGCCAUAGAGAUGAUGUUGUUCAAAAGUCUCAGAAAAUGUCACCACCUGAGGAAUCUCCAACAAGGAGCCCACCAGUCACCAUCUCUGAUACAUGCAGCAGAAUGUGAUGCCACGAUCACUAACCACCAGUCCUACAUAGACCAACUCAAUGAGAAACUACGUGAACAAGGGAGGCAACUCAAGGAAAAGGAUGACAAGACUGAAGAACUUAACAGACGACUUGAACUUGAAAAGUUUGGAGUUUGUAAAUUCAUGUAUGAUGAUAUAUUGCUGGAAUAUUAUACAGGAUUACCAUCAUUUCAAACAUUGCAAGAUUUUUUUGAUUUUAUCAAACCUACAUUACCAAGGUGAAUCCGGUCUUCCAAAACCAAACAGUUCUCACUCUAUUCCAUUAUUUGAGGAGUUAUUCAUGUUUCUUGUCAGAAUUAAGCUGGGUUCAAGUGAAGUAGAUUUAUCUGUUAGGUUCAAUUGUCAUGUCUCUACCAUAAGUAGAAAGGCUUUGACUUGGUGCAAUUAUCUCAAUGUGUUUUGGGUAGCAUUAACAUGUGGCCUCCUGCUGAUGUUGUUCUGGAAAAUACGCCUGAAGACGUCCGAUUGUUAUACCCUAGAACUCGAGUCAUCAUUGACUGCACGGAAAUAUAUACCAAGAGACCCUCCUCUGUACAUUUAGGUUCCCUACUGUAUUCUCAUUACAAGAGUAGGAAUACAAGGCCAGGCCUGGUGGGUAUUGCUCCUCAUGGGGCAUUAACCUUUGUAUCUGCCAUGUUCUCAGGUUGUAUGUCUGACACGGAAAUCACCAAACAGUGGACUCUUGUCAUUGCUUGAGCCAGGGGAUGUCAUCGUGGAUGGCAAGGGUUUUCUUAUAGGCAAACUAUUGGAAGGAACUGGUGUGUCAAUAAAAACUCCUCAUUUCUUGAGUCCUGCUUGUCAAUUUGAGCAAACCGAAAUCGAAGAAAAUCGACAAAUUUCCAGUCAUAGGAUCCACAUUGAAAGGCAUAUCAAACUAGUAAAAGAGUACCAUGUACCAAAUGGUACAGUUCCCUCAUCAAUGGCUUGGUCAAUCAGUCAGCUGUGGGGUGUAGUAAACUUACUAACCCUGUUUAGAAGGCCCUUAUAGCCAAGGGAGAUAAGCAAUAUUCAGCAUUUACAGCUCUUAGCCUUGAACAUCAAAUGUUGAUAUCUAAUUGUUUUGAACAGCAGUUUCACCAACAUUUCAUUUAUGUGAUAUUGAGUAGCUGGUACAUGUACUCUUGUACUCAUUGAAUAUCACCCCAAGUAGGAGUAAUACCUUGCCCAAGGGCACUAGCACAAGAAGAGGUAGACAUAUAAAUGUAAAUGAAUUUCUUCUGUAAUAUAAAGUCUUAGCUAACAGACUCUUGAAAUACAUUGAUGGAUUCAGAUGAGUAUUAAUGAAAAUGUCACAAUAACUCAGUUUGAGAUGUAACGUAUGUGUUGUUCAAUUUCAACUUGAUAAAAUAGGUAAUUCCAUCUUUUGGGAAUUUUCAUUUAUAGGUAAGAUAUUAUAAUGUGGUGUAAGGGGAGACAACCUGUGAUAAAUUAUGAAUUGUUCAUAUUUUCACUGUUAGCAAAAGGCAAAUGAAACCAGUUGUAAUUGUAAUUUAUCUGAUGAUGACUUAUGACAGAUUUUAUAUUUUGUAUCACAGACAGACAAUUCCUAUGAAGUAUUAUUACACAUGCUCAUACUGUGUUUCAGCAAAUUAUGUAUUGUAGAAUCAAACUUGACUGCCACUUCAUGACAGUACAUGACAUGUAAAUUGAGAUCUUCAAGCCCUUUAUGAUGCAUGUCUAUUAAUGCUGUUUAUGUCACAUGAAUGUUUGUCCUGCUUUGUUUUGUUUUGCGAUACAUUGGUAAGCUGGGUCCAGACAUUUUGCUUUUAUUGCUUACCAUUUCUUAAUCAUGGAUGACAGGAAAAAUGUGAGACCUUAUAUGCUGAUGGAAGUUAUCGCCCCUGGGUAAAACAUCUGUAAUUUAAUAUUGAAGUUAACAAUUUUCUAAAAUUUGUACCCAAUUUACACUUUGAAAGUAAUUGUAUAUAGAAAAUUGGAUUGUUAUUUAUCAGUAAUUAAUACAGUGCUUUCCUACUGCCAAUGUGUUUAUUGUUAUUACACUGGUGUUAAUACAUAACAAAUUGAAAAUAUAUUUGUAUUUAUUGUC